This 358-nucleotide ribosomal RNA is filed under the name uncultured bacterium. Its description in RNAcentral is "bacterial SSU rRNA". It matches the Rfam family "Bacterial small subunit ribosomal RNA", at positions 341 to 714 of the family's 1533-position model. The record is from RNAcentral.
ACGGGAGGCAGCAGUGAGGAAUUUUCCGCAAUGGGCGAAAGCCUGACGGAGCAAUACCGCGUGAGGGAUGAAGGAUUUUGGUCUGUAAACCUCUUUUCUCAAGAAAGAAGUUCUGACGGUACUUGAGGAAUAAGCAUCGGCUAACUCCGUGCCAGCAGCCGCGGUAAUACGGGGGAUGCAAGCGUUAUCCGGAAUCAUUGGGCGUAAAGCGCCUGUAGGUUGUUUAACAAGUCUGUUGUUAAAGACUAGGGCUCAACCCUAGAAAAGCAAUGGAAACUACUAGACUAGAGUAUGGCAGGGGUAGAGGGAAUUUCUAGUGUAGCGGUGAAAUGCGUAGAUAUUAGAAAGAACACCGGUG